AUGAGAUCUUCCACUGAUUAUAGCAGUCAGGAGAAGUGGUGCUACAUGCCUCACAGCAGCACACAUCUUGGGGAAGUAGGGGCAUAUACACCUUGGGUUGCAAUUGAGCAUCCUACUACUGAAAGUGGAGCCCAGAUAGAAAAUAGAAAGUUAGGCUGUUGCAGCCUGACAGAGCGUAGAGAAAAGGAGUGCUGA
This 195-nucleotide ribosomal RNA is filed under the name Triticum aestivum (bread wheat). RNAcentral describes it as "partial small subunit ribosomal RNA". Lineage: Eukaryota; Viridiplantae; Streptophyta; Magnoliopsida; Poales; Poaceae. The record is from RNAcentral.